AUGAGGCCCGGGCUGACCAGCCGCGCUCCGCGCGCCUUCCGGCCCAUGGCGCUCGGGCCCGCGGCCCCAGCUCACUCGGUUCCCGGCACCUUUUCCCGGAGCGAUUCGCGGCGGCGGCGGCGGCAGCGACAGGCAGGCGGGUGCGCGCCAACGAGCACGCGCACCGCGGACACGCACGUGGAGAGCGGACGGGGAGGGGCGCGCGGGGAUCCACCCGGGUCCAGGCCGGCUCCCGAGGUCACGCGGACACGCGGCCACUGCAGCGCCCACGGGUGGCUCCUGGUCACGCCCGAGGCCCGGGCCGGCGCGGACCCGCAGCGCAGCCCCCGGUGCUGCCGCAGCGCACUCACCCGGGCACAGGCGCGCGCGCCCCGGCCACCCUGGCGCCCCGGCAUCCUGCACCGCACGGGCGCCUGCUGCUGCGCGAACCGUCACUCUGCAGACAGGCAGACAAAGCGCCAGCUCGCGGGCCCCUUCACCAUCUCCCAGAGACGAGAGUCUUUGUCACAUGUCGCUGGGCACCCUCCCAACACACCCACACAUGCCCACACUCCCACACAUCCCCGCACCCACCGGCAGGGCCAGGUGCAAACCCACACUGUUGCUGGGACCUCGCGUUCACAGACACACGGUGAAGGUCAUAACCGUUCUGCAUCACCAAGUCACGUGGAGGGUCCCCAACAGGCACGGGCCCUGCGGGGAGGGGUGGGCUGGGCGAUGCCCCGGCCGGGCUCCCGCGGGUGGGGCGGAGAGGGCUCGGCCUCAGGCUGGCGCCGCGCCCCGCCCCGCUGCCGGCCCCUCCUCCUCGUCCCAGGCUCCCCGCCCCACCGGGCGAGCUCGGGAACCAACCGGUCUCCGCCUCCGGCCCGAUUGGUCUGCGCAGCGCGCUUUCCCGGCAGGCCGGCGGUGGCACGCCGUUUGAAGCUGUGCGUCAGGGGUCCUGGCCUGGCCCGCGGCCCCUCCUUCCCUUCUGUUCCUACCGGGCCAUUUCCGUGGAAGAGUAGCCCGAACGAGACGGGCUCCCGCGGUGUGUCGGGGCGGGGUCGAGUUCCCCGCUUUUGCCUCCGAGAUCCGGGCUCGGCUGGGAGCGCUGAGAGCUCUGAAGCAGAACGCGCACCCUCGUCUUUCGUCUGGGCCCAGCAGGAAACAAGGAAGUUACCACCUCCCCAAGUAUCUCCUAGCCCUCAGGCUACUCAGGGAAACAGUGGUGGUGGUUUAGUCGCUAAGUCGUGUGCAGCUCUUGCGACCCCAUGGACUGUACCCGCCAGGCUUCCCUGUCCAUGGGAUUUCCCAGGCAAGAAUACUGGAGUGGGUUUCCAUUUCCUUGGAUUUCUAAUCCUGCCUGGUACACCCGGUCACCUUGGGCAAGUUCUUUAA
This 1377-nucleotide long non-coding RNA is filed under the name Bos grunniens (domestic yak). RNAcentral's name for it is "lncRNA (ENSBGRG00000021858.1)". The record is from RNAcentral. Lineage: Eukaryota; Metazoa; Chordata; Mammalia; Artiodactyla; Bovidae.